UAUCUCUGUAGAGUCUGCAUAUCAAUAAGCGGAGGAAAAGAAACUAACUAGGAUUCCCUCAGUAACGGCGAGUGAAGCGGGAAGAGCUCAAAUUUGAAAUCUUCAAGGUUUUACCUUGACGUAUUGUAGUUUAAAGAAGUGUUUUCUGUUGGAGUUUUGGUAAAAGUUCUUUGGAAUAGGACAUCAUAGAGGGUGAGAAUCCCGUAUUUGACCAUUAUUUCCAACUUUGUGAUACACUUUCAAAGAGUCGGAUUGUUUGGGAAUGCAGUCCAAAAUGGGUGGUAAAUUUCAUCUAAAGCUAAAUAUUGGCGAGAGACCGAUAGCGAACAAGUACCGUGAGGGAAAGAUGAAAAGAACUUUGAAAAGAGAGUUAAACAGUACGUGAAAUUGUCAAAAGGGAAGCGUUUGGCACCAGUGUUGUUUUCUCGAAAAUCAAUUAAAAAAGAUUGGAUUUUGUGUUGUAUUGACUUUAUCAGCUUUCAGCACUCUUUUUCUUGUCUUUUUUAAUGCACUUUUCGUUUAACAAGUCAACAUCAAUUUCUUUUGCUGUAAAAGAGUCAUUGGAAGGUGGCUUUCUUUUCGGAGAAAGUGUUUAUAGCCUUUGGCUUCUGCAAUCGGAGAGAUUGAGGUCUGCAGCGUAGAUCCUUCUGGGAUUAGAUUACAUUUGUGCUAAGUUAUAGCCUUUCAUAGACAACUUGUUGACUAUGAUCAGUCAUGUAGCUUACUCGCUUAUGCUAUUUUACCUACGCUUAGGAUGUUGAUCUCUCACAGUCGAG
This 776-nucleotide ribosomal RNA is filed under the name uncultured Neocallimastigales. Its description in RNAcentral is "partial large subunit ribosomal RNA". It matches the Rfam family "Eukaryotic large subunit ribosomal RNA", at positions 24 to 644 of the family's 3401-position model. The record is from RNAcentral. Lineage: Eukaryota; Fungi; Neocallimastigomycota; Neocallimastigomycetes; Neocallimastigales.